GAUGAACGCUGGCGGCGUGCCUAAUACAUGCAAGUCGAGCGAACGGACGAGAAGCUUGCUUUUCUGAUGUUAGCGGCGGACGGGAGAGUAACACGUGGAUCCCCUACCUAUAAUACUGGGAUAACUUCGGGAAACCGGAGCUAAUACCGGAUAAUCUUUUGAUCCGCGUGGUUCAAAAGUGAAAGACGGUCUUGCUGUCACUUAUCGAUGGAUCCGCGCUGCAUUAGCUAGUUGUUACGGUAACGGCUUACCAAGGCAACGAUGCCUAGCCGACCUGAGAGAGUGAUCGGCCACACUGGAACUGAGACACCGUCCAGACUCCUACGGGAGGCAGCAGUAGCGAAUCUUCCGCAAUGGGCGAAAGCCUGACGGAGCAACGCCGCGUGAGUGAUGAAGGUCUUCGGAUCGUAAAACUCUGUUAUUGGGGAAGAACAUAUGUGUAAGUAACUGUGCACAUCUUGACGGUACCUAAUCAGAAAGCCACGGCUAACUACGUG
RNAcentral lists this ribosomal RNA (497 nucleotides) under uncultured bacterium. Its description in RNAcentral is "partial 16S ribosomal RNA". It matches the Rfam family "Bacterial small subunit ribosomal RNA", at positions 28 to 507 of the family's 1533-position model. The record is from RNAcentral.